Hemicordylus capensis (graceful crag lizard) is the source of this 5834-nucleotide long non-coding RNA. RefSeq lists it as uncharacterized. The record is from RefSeq and is a predicted model, not a curated record. The transcript has 2 exons. Lineage: Eukaryota; Metazoa; Chordata; Lepidosauria; Squamata; Cordylidae.
AAUAGAAAAGCGCUCUUUUCUUUAGUUCUGAGCUCCAAUCAGAGCUCAUGCUUUUCUCUUCCUGUGUAGCUUGUCCAGACCUGCCGAAUGCUGACGGAGUGGCUCGGAAGUUCCCGAGAGGCGCGCGCUCUCUCUCUUGCUCUGCCCCUCCCGGUUUUGCGACUGCCCUCUCCCUCUCUUUCUUGUCCCUUCGCUUCCCUGGGCGGGGAAUUGUUUCUCUUCCUUCCUUCCCUGUCCCCUCCCACCUUUGCAAUUGCAAUCAAGAUGGAGGAGCGGGGUGGCUUCUGCACCCUUCUAGGGCACUGUGGUUAAUGCAGCUGCUCCUGCCUUGCUCCCUAAAGACUGCAACACCCUUCCUCCAGCUUGCGCGCCCGUCCGCUUGCUUACUUCCAUUCUUUUCCCCCCUCCCACCAGGUUCCUGCUGCUGCACUGAUUGCAGCCCCCUCCUCCCAUUUCCAUCCAUGCGCCCUCCCUUCCCCCUCCUGCAAUUGUCUCUGCUUUUGGGGUUUUUUUUGCUCCUGCGUACAUCCAUUGCUUAUGCAUGCGCUGCACACCCUGCCUCUCUGGGGGGGCUGCCGGGGGCUCCCCUAGAGCUGUGAUCUCUGCGCGCACACCUUCAAUCGCCUCCUCCAUCUAUUAUUACAAUCAUUGCUGCUGUCUGUGCAAGCGAGCGAGCCAUCCAACCAGCCGCCCUUUUCUUUCCCCCGUUCUCUCUCCCAUUUCUCCCCCUCCUCUUUGCACCAUUAUCAUCAUCAUCACCACCACUACUAUACCACCACCACCACCACCAUCGUGUCUCUGGAUGGAUUUCCUCCCUGGGGUUUUUGCUAGAACGUGAAGCCGGGGACCUGGUGGCAAAAUUGUAGAUACUGUUUGUCUCCUGCUGCUGCCAGGAUCCAGCCAAGGAAGAACAAGGAGGUCGAUCAGAGUGGCGGUGGCCGUGGGAUCUGGUCUGGAGGAACCACCAACCGCGUCUAGCAGCCAUGAGCGGUUCCACGACCGCCUCCUCCACCAGCGGCAACGCAGCCGGGGAAGGGGCGGAGGACGCUGCCAAGGAUUCCGCAGACAUCGCGGCUUUCUUCCGAUCGGAUGAGUCGCCUUCUGACUAGGGAUUGGGAAAGUGAGAGCUUGCGGACGAGGCCGUGUGAGAGCAAGCGAGCGAGAAUCUUAUCUUAACGGAAGCUGUUUCAGGAAAGUCAUAUGGCUGCAUAGCUUUGACAAAGAAGAUUUAAGGAGGCACAGGGAUAGAUUCCUGGUCUAUCUGCAAUCAAAUCAAGCCCCAGUGAGACAUUCUGGCAGACGGUGAGAGUCUAAAGAGCAGCUGUACAUCUCUUCCUUUGAAACCCACACGGGGUUGCCCAGACCUUGCUUUGCUUCAUGGGCUGCUGCUAGCAAAAGCAAGAACACUCAAAACAAAGGGAUGCCACAUCACACUUUUUGCAUAGUUAGAGGUAAGAAAGGGAAAGGAAAGAACAAGACAUGGGCUGUUCUUUUCAGCAACAGCAGCCCUGCAGACACCAUAAGGCCCAAUGGGCUUAAGUUACAGGAAGGUAGAUAUUCUUAACAGAAAUUCUUAACAGACAGAGCCGUUUGGCAAUGCAACCAAUGGCUUGGGAGUGGAUGGGCUCUCUUUUGUGGCAGGUCUUCUAGCAGAGGCUGGACAGCCAUCUUCCAGAGAUGCCUUAGUUCUGGAUUUCUUCCAUUGAACAGGGGUUGGGCUAGAUUGUCUACAGUGACCCAUUGGGUUGGGCUAGAUUGUUGGGCUAGAUUGGGCUAGAUUGUCUACAGGGGUUGGGCUAGAUUGUCUACAGUGACCCACUAACUUCAACUUAAGGAAGUUGACUGGUGGAAUUAUUUCAGAUCUAGAGCAGUACCUUACUAGACCUUAUGGUAGACGCAGGGCUGCUGCUGCUGAAAAGAGCAGCACUCUUUCUUCUCCAUGGUCACACCCAGCAAUGCAAAACGUGUGAUGUGGUGUCCCCUUCCUUGGAGUUGCCUGGCCCUUGCGAGCAGCAGCCCAUGACACAGAGAAGGGGCAAGGCCCUUGAAUUACAUGGCACCGAAGUGGGGAGUGAAGUGACCCCACCUAUCAAACAGCAAGAGGAACAUUUGAUCAGGGUCAUGCUCCCUUUCCCACAUCACCCGCUGCUUACCAUGAUUCUGCGGCCAAUGCCACGGAAUCCAAGGAUGGACCCAGCAAAGAGUUAACAAGUGGAAGAAAUGCUGAGAAGCCUCUUGUCCCUCUCCCUCCUCUGCCGGUUUUCGAAGUAGUGAUGAACAGUCAUUAAACUCAUCUCCCUGUUGUUGGACAUAGGAAUAGUGAUUUAAUUGAUUUUCUUUUUGAAAAGGAAAAAGAAUAAGAAGCCAACAGAACCUUUCAUUACUGACAGGCAUUCUUUGGGGUCUGGUCACUGACGAAAAUCUUUCCCCCAAUAUUUACAUUUUAUAUUUCUGCAUAACACUAUUGUUUUAAGAUGAUAAUCCUGUAAAAACUGGCAAAGAAUGAAAGGUUCCUUCUUACAUCUCUCUCUAAAAAAAUGAUUCUUGAUUCUUUCGGUGGCAAGGAGAGUUGUAAGCCACACAUCUUUCGCAAGGUCAGGCAGUUUACUAUCUAGUUGACACAGAUAGUGUUCAAAUAUGCUGUUCUUUCUCUGGAUUACAUUCAAAUAUAUUAGGCUACAAUAAUCUGCCUAGGAACAUUUUUUAAAAAACAUUUUUGCUUCAAACAUCUACAGAAGAGUUCUGUGUAGCUUAAAAAAACCACCCUUCAUUUUAACCACCCUUAUUUUAACCACCCUUCAUUUUUAUGAUUAUAACUGACCCCAAAGGGGUCUAAAGCAUGAUGGGGGGAAAAGAGAGAGCAAAAAAACCCAACACCCCACCUCAAACGGGACACAUUGUACUCCAUCUACAUAAAGGGAGCCAAUUGUUCUGUAGUGUUUCAACCCCAUACUCCUAGCGUGUGUGUUUCAGAAUGGCACUGGAAUCAUUUGAAGACCAAUUUAAGUGAAUAUGAGGAAAUAAGCAUUGCAUAUCCUAGGGAACUGGAAGGGGGGGUAGGUCACUACAACACUAAUACCAUAAUGGCUACUUUAUGCUGAUGCAUCAUACAUUAAAAAUGUGCUAGUUAGAACUGGAUUCUUUAGGCCCAGACUCUGCAGCAGACUCCCCCUGCUGGCCAAACACCAUAGUCACAGUCUUAGUCUUUUCCCGCCCUUUUAGAGACUCUCUCCCUUUUACAUUACCAGCUCCUUUAGGUAAAAUGGAGGGAUUCUUCGCAACCGUCGUCAUCUUAGGAACAGAAGAUGCCUGUGAUGACCUUGCUGCCCUGCCGGUCAGGUUGCUAGCCAGCUCGCCAAUCCGCCUAAUCUCUUCAGAGGUUGGUGGGGCGUUGGCAAUAGAGAGCCUCCCAAAGCGCUCUUCACAGCCACUUCAAGCUGCCUGCAGCAGCGUGGCGCGCCGGGCCGCGGUAGUGCAAGUCUCGCAGCCCGAGGGCGGGAGACUCGACGUGGCCCCUUUGACGAUUGGGACGGGCGGCUCGAGAGCGGCCGUCACCGACAUGGGAAAAUCAAGCCCUUCCAGGGGGGCCUCCGUGGCCCAUAGAUGAGAGAUGGCCGAUUACGGACCGUCAACUCACUGCUGUCAAAUUUUUGGGGCGGUUUUCAGGUCAGAAAAGUGGCCUUGCUAUGCAGAGCUUGCAGCAGCCUGUGCCAAUGGGGCCUACAAAAGGCCCUGAAGCCUCCCAGGCCGAAAACACUCAAUCUCUUCCCCUUGUUGGAGAAAUUGCUCUGUACCUCUCUGACUGGCUCCAAGCAACGGAGAGGAAAGAGGAGAUGGGGGGGGAGAGGAGUGGGCGGGGGAGAGAAACAGACGAAAGAAGGGUGGUUUUCUUUCUUUUCAGGUAAUAGCAAGCAAUAAGGUUCAGAGACAGAAAAAAGGAUUUGGAGAACAGAAUACUGUAGUUAGGAAGUCAAUUAGAGAAUUAAUAUCAGCAGAAAAUAGAGAGAGCUAGAAAAACGCUGCUGUGGAGUUUGCUGAGGACAGAAAGAACUGGGGCAACCGAGAAUAUGUAAUACCACACCCUGCUGCCCAAAGGGCCUGCACAUUCUGCACCCCAAAAUACACAGUCGUCUUUGCUCAUUGCAGCACAGCCCCCAAUAAACAGCUAGACUCAUACGCUACACUCUCUUUAUUGAAUAUGAACCAAAAAGAAAUGGUUUCAUACUGGAGUUCCAAAUUGACAGCAUCAUCUUUUUAUUUCUGAAAUGCCAGAAUAUUGCCCCCAUAUUGAUCUGGGAACUCUCUCCCACUGCAUCAUCAAACCAGCGCAGGCUAGUCCUUCGCUCGUCAUCCACACAGACUGGGCAUUUGACUUCAUGAAUUAGCAGCCUGCACAGCUCAUCUUAAAGUUGGGGUUUCCCUCACUUCUCCUCUGUGAUGGGGGUGUGCAUCAAAAUCACACUAAGUACACCAGGGCACCAAAACCCCUAAGUCCGGCCCUGAAAGUAACACACAAGUGAUCCUAAAACCAAACCAACUGUGGGACAAAUCAGACUCUUUCCUGAACCUCAGCCCAAUGUUUGUGUGAUUUACAGAUUAAGGAAAGAAAUGUUUAGAGCUGUAAAUGGACUUAAAAGCUGACUGAAUGUAGCAAAAUAAAAAUGGCUGGAGUCAGGGCUGAUUAGGCUGCCUGGAACUGGGAACCUAGAACCUAGCAACCCUAUGCAUGGCGGCCCAUCAGGGCAGGGCUGACUCCAGCCCUUUUUGCGGGGGGGGGGUGUACAUUAUGCUUUAAAAUGUUUUAAAACUCAAAAUUAUUACAUUUUUCAUACAAAAUACAUGAAAUGUGCACAAUUAGUAAGCAACUUGCAUUAUAUAGAUAUCAGGCUGCCUAGAACUGGGAAUCAGGAACAUAGCAACCCUAUGCAUUGAAAAGCACAAUGUGUCUGCAUACACUGUAAGUGAAUAGAAAACAACCUCUGCAUACAACUGAGUGCUUGAUUUGGGCUGGGGCAACUAUACCUGAUGGACCAUCUUCUGGAAUGGACCUUCAAAGACAGAAGGGUCUUCUGUGUGGGGGAUUUUUGGCAGGAAAUUCAAAACAAUCUCAGCCUCAUUUAUAAUCUGGACUAAACUGAAAGACUGCUGUAAGACACUCUCUCUUAGAUACCACCCUCCCACAACCUGUAAUAUAGGGUACAGAGCUGUAUUGGCAUUGCUAAAUGUUUUAAAAUAUUUUAAAACUAUAUUUUCCAUAGGUAGUGUUUUCUUUCAUGGGGAGGGUAUGCUGCUGUUCAAUUCCAGCUAUGCUAAAAUGGUGAAUUUUGUUUUUGCUGGGUACUGUAAUUAAAUUGUGAUGAUAGUCUUCUCCCGUCUCGAUGGAUAUCUCUGCUUCCCUUACAUAUCAAUCAUAGCUAUGAAUCCCCUUAUUGGCUACAGAGAGUGAAGGUGGCAGUGGGCUUGUUUCUCAAUAAAUGAUUGGGCAGAAUACUGCUGACACAUUUUGCUUCAUAUCAAGGGCUAGAAUCUUGAUAUUCUUCUUUAAACUUGUAAUAUUUGUAAGGAAAUAAGUUGGUGUUCCACUUUGUUCUUUAAAUGUUUCCAUGAGUGCUUUGUUUAUGCAAGUGACAUUGUGCAAUGCCAAGCAAUGCACUGACUGCAAUUAGUCAUUCUGAAACUGGUUUUAGUAAUGGAAAGGAUUCCCCUUCAAUCAAGUAAUCACAAUGCAGUUCAAUGUACACAUAGUUUUGUAUGAAAUAUGUGAACAGUACACUUGUUUUUUAAAUUUAUAAUUGUGCACUUGAAUUCAUAUUAAAAACUAGUGUCUUUCCCAA